ACUCUGUUUCAUGCAUGUAAGUGUGCAUGGAAUUUAUCACUUAAUCAUCUUUAUAGUUUCUAGAUUUCAGAGUCCAAUUUCUUCCGGGUCAUUCUUUGCGAUAUCCAUAUACACAGUCUGUUUGCAAUUGGUUUGAUUGCCACACUUUCUCUCGCUGUUUC
Molecule: long non-coding RNA, 161 nt
Organism: Etheostoma cragini (Arkansas darter)
Lineage: Eukaryota; Metazoa; Chordata; Actinopteri; Perciformes; Percidae
Exons: 3
Source: RefSeq, a predicted model, not a curated record